This 301-nucleotide ribosomal RNA is filed under the name uncultured bacterium. RNAcentral's name for it is "partial 16S ribosomal RNA". It matches the Rfam family "Bacterial small subunit ribosomal RNA", at positions 509 to 807 of the family's 1533-position model. The record is from RNAcentral.
CAGCCGCCGCGGUAAUACAGAGGGUGCGAGCGUUAAUCGGAUUUACUGGGCGUAAAGCGUGCGUAGGCGGCUAAUUGAGUCGGAUGUGAAAUCCCCGAGCUUAACUUGGGAAUUGCAUUCGAUACUGGUUAGCUAGAGUGUGGGAGAGGAUGGUAGAAUUCCAGGUGUAGCGGUGAAAUGCGUAGAGAUCUGGAGGAAUACCGAUGGCAAAGGCAGCCAUCUGGCCUAACACUGACGCUGAGGUACGAAAGCAUGGGGAGCAAACAGGAUUAGAUACCCCGGUAGUCCCUGUCUCUUAUAC